Cryptomeria japonica (Japanese cedar) is the source of this 755-nucleotide long non-coding RNA. RefSeq lists it as uncharacterized. The transcript has 3 exons. The record is from RefSeq and is a predicted model, not a curated record. NCBI's taxonomy places the organism in Eukaryota, Viridiplantae, Streptophyta, Pinopsida, Cupressales, Cupressaceae.
CAGAUUGUCCAAAAAUAUUAUAGAAUGAUGGCAUCACAGUUCCAACACAGGAUGCUAAUAAGUGUUCUGGAGUUGGAAAUGCAGAUUAAUCAAGGAAGAAGGAAUUUACUUGUGUAUUUAUAUGAGCUGUUGAUGCCUUCAUUUGCUUUCAUAAUACCUUAAGUCCAAAUACUACAAUCUUUUCAGAGUACAUAUCCAUGAGUUUCAAAGACAACGGGCAAGGAAAUUAUACUUUUGCAUGGAGAAAAAGUGGAGUGUAUAUAAGGAGCUACGCAGAAAUGGAAAAGUGCUCUGAGAUUUUCGUAUGCCCACCUCUGGCUCAUUGGGGUUAGCAGAAGGUUUUUGACUAUAAUUACAACACUUUCAACAACUAUAAUUACCAGGGACUACGUUUUUGACUUCACACCCAGAAAGAGCACAAGUUUUCUUUCUUCCUUUCAUUAUAACAAUGAUGGUGAAAUUUAUUUCCAGGCACAAAACAUACGACAUACCAGAAGUAAGAUUAUUUGUGAAAAACUACAUUGAUGCUGUUGGCUGAAAAAGCCGAGGCCCAUGCCAUUGUAUUGGUGAAGGUUUGCUAUUUGUGGGUGCCAAUGGAGGCGGCACCAUGUGGGGUUUGUGGUAAGAUCACAUUGUUGUGUUUUAUAAGAAUAUAUGUGUUUAUUCAUAUGAAGCUAAUUGAUAAUCUCUGUUCGCAUCUGCAGAAUGUAAGUAUAUGUGAUUAUUUAUGUGAAGCUGAUUGAUAAUCUCACUAG